UACGCAGUGAUAAAGAAAAGCUU
RNAcentral lists this non-coding RNA (23 nucleotides) under Arabidopsis thaliana (thale cress). The record is from RNAcentral. Lineage: Eukaryota; Viridiplantae; Streptophyta; Magnoliopsida; Brassicales; Brassicaceae.